Molecule: ribosomal RNA, 460 nt
Filed under: uncultured bacterium
Lineage: Bacteria
Description: partial 16S ribosomal RNA
Rfam family: Bacterial small subunit ribosomal RNA
Source: RNAcentral
CCUACGGGUGGCAGCAGUGAGGAAUAUUGGUCAAUGGACGCAAGUCUGAACCAGCCAUGCCGCGUGCAGGAAGACGGCUCUAUGGGUUGUAAACUUCUUUUGUACGGGAGUAAAUCGCGGUACGUGUACCUGUUUGACUGUAUCAUACGAAUAAGGAUCGGCUAACUCCGUGCCAGCAGCCGCGGUAAUACGGAGGAUUCGAGCGUUAUCCGGAUUUAUUGGGUUUAAAGGGUGCGUAGAUGGGUCGGUAAGUCAGAUGUGAAAGCUCGGGGCUCAACCCCGGCACUGCUAUUGAUACUGGCUGGCUAGAGUACAGUUGCGGUAGGCGGAAUUCAUGGUGUAGCGGUGAAAUGCAUAGAGAUCACGAAGAACACCGAUUGCGAAGGCAGCCUACUAAACUGCGACUGACGUUGAGGCACGAAAGCGUGGGGAGCAAACAGGAUUAGAUACCCGGGUAGUC